UGCAAGAAUACUACUUGACCUAACCACUCAACCUAGCCAUUGGUUCCUCACCAGCUGGGGCCCCUGGGAUGCCGGAAAAAUCCCAAAACGGCCUGAUUACAUCACACAGCAGAAGCAAAGUUCUUGAAAGCCUCCAGGAUGUCACUUCUUGUGGUAUUAUUGUUAUUUGCCUCUGCUGAGCACAGCAAAUCCCCACAAAAUUCUGCGCUUUCACAAUUUGUGUUGUUGUGCUCAUUUUGCAACGCAACCGCUUCCUGUUCAUGGAAGCAGGAAGGAAAAGAGUUCCUUUUCGCCGCUUUCGAAACGCCCAGGUACGAGAGGGAAGUUCGUUUGCAUGAGCACGUCUUCUUCCGCUGCCGAGAAACAGAUAAGAGGGCCAUCCCAGCUGUAGCAGAGACCACUUCACAGCAAGAGGAGCAGCUUGGAAGGCUAGAAAUCCUCCUUUCUGGAAAGAGACCGGCGUGACUUCCUUGGACAGAUCAAAAGCCCCCAUGUCUAGAGUGCCUGAAUGCGAAGAGGAGGUGAUGGACUUCUGCAGUGUGGACGAGAUGCAGUUCUACGAAGAGGACCGGCCUUCUCUGGCCAAGGAGACCUUCCCAGGGCUGAGCCAUCCUGCCUGCAAAGUGGGCAUUCAGGUGAAGAUCGCCAACAGCUCUUCAUCUCUGGGCUUCCAGAAGGCAGCGAUCAUUAUGGUGGCGAUUGAGAGGAUGAAGAAGAAGAAGUCCUCCAAAGCCAGGGCGCUUUUCACAGAUGACGACCUGAUGGACAUCAUCAAUUCCGUCUUAGGUACAGUAUGGGACACCAGCUGGCUGCCAUAUUGGGUGUGAUCCCGAUGGGAAUCCCCAGCGAGGAGCCUAGAGAUGCGUCCUG
This 870-nucleotide long non-coding RNA is filed under the name Podarcis muralis (Common wall lizard). RNAcentral describes it as "lncRNA (ENSPMRG00000012328.1)". The record is from RNAcentral. Lineage: Eukaryota; Metazoa; Chordata; Lepidosauria; Squamata; Lacertidae.